Non-coding RNA from Cricetulus griseus (Chinese hamster), 1802 nucleotides. The record is from RefSeq and is a predicted model, not a curated record. NCBI's taxonomy places the organism in Eukaryota, Metazoa, Chordata, Mammalia, Rodentia, Cricetidae.
UUAAAUAGUAACUUCACGAAAGAACUCAGUAUCUCCAUUUCACAGAUGAGGAAACACACGGGCCUAUUAACUUUCCUGGCAACCGAAUUCUAGGCUUAGGGAUUGAGUCUCACAGUACAGACAAGCCGGUGGGAGACCAAGCGUUCCUGCCGGGUGAGUACAAGCUGGGCGCAGAGCAGCACACUCACCCAUUGGAAAGGGCGCGGGGCACCCACAGGGACCCCUAGACCAGCGUUGGAGUCGCUGCGCCCAUUUACUGCGGUCCCGGCGCACCGCGUCUGUGCCUCCCCGCGCCUCCCCGCGGCUCACCCAGAGUAGAUGACGGCAAGAAGAGCAGCAGGACGACCAGCUGGACCCCGCCACGGCAGAAAGCUACAAGGCGACCCACAGGGCCCAGCCGCUGUGAUCUCCGAGAACCCUUCAAGUCCAUCUCACUGGUCUCAGGCACAGUCGAAGAGCAAAGAGAAGGCAACCACGCCCAGGGUGCAAGCAAUGGCGCUGAGUUCCGGAGUAAAGCUUUCGACCACAGCUUCCUCUUGUUGGGCGGGGUCUUGUUUAUUACUCUUUCGUGGGGUUUCCGUGGAAUGUCUCCCGGGAAAUCGCUCCAGGGACGCAGGCACAGGAUCAAAACCUAGCAAGCCAGUUGCAGUAUGUUUUCCUGUUUGUAAGUACCUUCGGUUCCAAGGAAAGCGAGGCAUUGUGGGAACUCGGUUUGCAUUUGACCCGGCCUUAUUCUCCCCCCCCCCCUUUUUUUUUUUCAAAAUACGCAAGGGUGGAGCCUAACCCUAACCUGCCACGGAGAGCCCACAGUUGCCCUGUGUUGUGUACAGUAAGAACCUAUUUCCUUAUGAUGAAUUCAGCUGUAACGUGCCACUGGAAACAAAAAUUAAAGCAGUGAGUUGAUCAGACAAAUUUUGCAAAUAUGUCGACGCAAAAAACACAGCUCUCAUCUCAGAAAGAAUGAGUUUAUUCUGGAGUCAUUUUGAGGGACGAUGGCCCUGGAACAAUGAUUUAGGUUACCUAAAUUCCAUGUCCCAAUGUGGAAGCAGUUCCACUGAGUUUUUAUGAUUUUACAGAGCAGAGAAAGUCUUAAAUCAAGUUUAAAAUACGUUGGUGGGUACAUCAGAGAAGCAGGGAUAUUAAUUCGGGGGAAGCUUUUCUGUAGGCCCAAGAUGCUAUCUGAUGGCACUCUUAGCUUUUGGACGGUAGAAGCUAGUUGCCUGCUAAGUUAGUAGAUUCUAAAAGAUUAUUUAUUGUUUGUUUGCUUGCUUUGGGUUUUUGUUUUGUUUGAUCUACUGUCUCAAGAGGUUAGUUUUAACACGGGGGAGGGCAUGGAAUGACUAUUUCGGAGGACCAGAACAAGAUAAGGUAAUCAGCGUCUGGACCUGCAACAUUGGGUGCCCUGCCCUAGAGAUAAUUGUAGGGAGCUAACUUCUAAGUUAUGUAGAUUUGACUAUGAGAACCAAAAGUUUCCUUGACUGUGUUUUCACACCAGGGCCCCAAGGUGUCGGGGAAGGUUAUCCAGUUUGCCAGGACAAGAGGGGGUUGUGCCCAAUAAUUGAUUAAUACACUGCAGGGGCUUAGGGAAAAAAAUCCCAUUAUGGAAAAGGGAGAGCAAUAGGUUUCACAAGGGUUUUACAGGGAUGGCAGUGACUAUUCAAGGGCAGGUAUCCCCAAGGCUUUGCAAGUGGGGAUUUUCUCCAGCAGAAUUCCAUUGUGAGUUUGUCUACUGAAAUCCCACUGUAUGAUCUUGUGGACCACAACAAUUCCCUGCUUUUCGUCUAAUAAAUUCAGUAUAUGAA